CUAGAGAGAGAGGGUCCGCACCUCCUUAAUGAA
RNAcentral lists this transfer RNA (33 nucleotides) under Zosterops conspicillatus conspicillatus. Its description in RNAcentral is "tRNA-Lys". The record is from RNAcentral. Lineage: Eukaryota; Metazoa; Chordata; Aves; Passeriformes; Zosteropidae.